This 637-nucleotide long non-coding RNA is filed under the name Hordeum vulgare. RNAcentral's name for it is "long non-coding RNA (HVUL_LNC000020)". Lineage: Eukaryota; Viridiplantae; Streptophyta; Magnoliopsida; Poales; Poaceae. The record is from RNAcentral.
AAGUCUGUGUACCAAGUUUCUGCUACUUAACUUUGUUAUGUUCCUAUGAGAAUGGUACAUUGAGAUAUUGGAGGAAUUACCACACAUUUGCAAAGCGGGCAUGGCUACUAAGCUCCUAUCUUCCCAGAGUCCACCACCCCUUACUUUCAACCUGGAAAAGUAGAUUAUCGAGGGGCUUCACCAAGCGUUGGCUCCUCGCCUUCCGGCGGUUCAUCGGGCGAAGUGAAUAGUCGUCCACGCGGCCGGCUAGGCGGACGACCGGCAGGCUGGCCGCAUCCCGGCCACGAAGGCCAAAGCUACUUCUGCUACUUCCACGACGCAGUUGAGGAGGAGGUACACGAUUUUGGCGAGGAGAGCUACGCGCUCAUAAAGGCCAACGUCGUCGACCUAAAGCCGCUCCAGGUCGUCCGCCUAGACAUAUCCCAUACUCACAUGAGCAAGAAAACAAGUUAAAUAGUUCUUUAGCGGCUUGCUCAAGAUAUAUCCCAUACUCACAGUUUAUUUAUUUAUUUCCUGAAAAGAGUAUAUAUAGUCCCACUGUCUUAGGGUCCGAAAGUGAAUGUCAUAUGUUUCCAGAUUUGCUUUUCUCUAUAUCCAUCUGCAGUCUAUCUAAAAUAAUGGAGGAAAACAAAUAUAC